This 492-nucleotide ribosomal RNA is filed under the name uncultured bacterium. RNAcentral describes it as "partial 16S ribosomal RNA". It matches the Rfam family "Bacterial small subunit ribosomal RNA", at positions 29 to 507 of the family's 1533-position model. The record is from RNAcentral.
AGUGAACGCUGGCGGUGGGCCUAAUACAUGCCAGUCGAACGGCCGCACAGUAAGCGUUUGCUCCUACUGGUGGCGAGUGACGGGCGGGUGAGGCGUAGAUAGGCUUCUUCUUUUACGUGGGGGAUAUCGUGGGGCAGCUUAUGAUACUACCGAAUAUGUUCUACGGGUUAAUGCAGGAGAUCUUCGCAGUUUGGCCGUCUGUAUGAGACGAUGCCGCAUUAGCUAGUUGGCAAGGUAAAGGCUCACCAAGGCAACGAUCCGUAGCUGAUCUGAGAGGAUGAUCGGCCACACUGGAACUGAGACACGGUCCAGACUCCUACGGGAGGCAGCAGUAGGGAAUAUUGCACAAUGGGCGAAAGCCUGACCCAGCAACGCCGCGUGAGUGAUGAAGGCCUUCGGAUUGUAAAGCUCUGUUAUUAGGAAAGAAAAUAAGUAUAAGAAAAUGCGCACGUCCUGACGGUACCUAAUCAAAAAGCCACGGCUAACUACGUG